Molecule: long non-coding RNA, 1940 nt
Organism: Bombus pascuorum
Lineage: Eukaryota; Metazoa; Arthropoda; Insecta; Hymenoptera; Apidae
Exons: 2
Source: RefSeq, a predicted model, not a curated record
UCGUGGCCAUAGAGAAUGAACAGCAUUAACAGUAACGUAAUCGGUCCCUCUCCCGUUCGUAUAUCUUUUUCGAAGACGAGGCGAUGUCCUACAUUUGUGGCACGAGGCUCCCACCGUGUCUGGUUGCCCCUCUUUUCCACCGGUUCCUGGCCCCGGUUAUAUUUAGUCGAUAUUUCAUCCGUUUCACGCCGAAGCCGGUUAAAGCUGAUUAUUGCGCCAGGUCGAGGUGGCCGUUCAAAGAGGACGAGUUUUUCGAUAGCUUUGCCGAGACGCGCUACCUCUGCGCGAAACCGAUCCUACGAUUGUCCUAGGAACCAACAUGGCAACAUCGCGAAGUCGCUCCUUCUUCGCCGAUUUUCUCGUCACGCGGCAGCCUGUGCAAGAAGAGCGAAAGAUAAAGAGAGGAAAAAUCGAGGGAGGGCCGCCGGGAGGAAGAUGAAAUACGAAGAGGAAGCGGAGCUAGCCCGGCUAGCACGGACCGAUCGAUAGAAAACACGCUGGGCGCGUUCGCGUGUAAUGAGGAAGUGUUCUCUCGCAAACAGUUACAAGUGGAGUAGGUUACGUAGAUAAGUCGUCACACAUACGGCCGUGUGUAAUUCUCUCCUGGCGAGUGGGCAUGUGGGCUCUCUCGAUACCGAGCCACCGCGACCGACAUUACAGGUGUAAUAUGCAACGUAGCCAGUUACAUUUACUCCGGAAAGGGAGACGAGGCCUCGAGAGAGAAGAGGAAGAGAGAGAGAGAGAGAGAGAAGCUGCAGUUUAACGUCGAUGGAAAAUGGAUCGACCGAUUCAGGAGACCAGGCAAAAUUGCCCCGAGUCGCUUCGACCCGGGGAAUCGAUCGUGCAAAAGCAUAUCGGUGGGGACUUAAUGUUUUUGGAUAAUUGAUUUUUUCGUCUGCGUGAAUUCGUUGAUUUAUCUUUUCUCCUUGAGAUAAAUAAAUUCGUGGUAAUAACUGAGCUGCGGACUUUUACGCUCUUAUGGGAAUUUCGGAGAUACAAAAAUACACAGAGCGCACAUACCACCAAAAAUAUAUUAACCAUAUACAUAUAAAAGUAAUAAAAAUAUAAAAUGUUUAUCCAAUGUUUCACCUAUUGUGAUUGACCUGAUUGGGUUCAAUAUACGAUAUCUAAAGUAUCUAAAGUAUAAAAUAUCCAAAGUAGAAUGAAAUGUAGAGCGAAACAAAUCUCCGAUUAGGUUCCAUUUCUUUAACCGUACUCACAAAAAUUUAAAUCUGCAUGCGUAUCCACAGUCUCAUGGGAAAUCUUGUCUCUUUCAGACGUUAAGUACCAAUUAUGAAAAUGAGAAGUUUAGAAAAAGUUAGCCGUUGAAAGAUUCAUUUACAAGGUGCAUCUCAGUAUACAGUCAACGUUUGUAUAUCUAGCGACGUUGCUAAAAACCCAGCAAAGCAUUCGUAUAUUUAAUAAGUGAUAGCGUACGUUCGUUUAUGUAGCUAUGUUAAUGUUCUUGAAAAGUGCACACGUUUAAUCUCGUUACACCUACGUCAAUUUCAUCAUCUUAUGUUGAGUAGCUGAUGCGUUUAUUUAGGUUUUUGGGUAAUAAGAUUUGCUGACGUGUCAUAACUGAAAGUGGAACAGAUGACCGCGAUUUUCUGUAUGAAACUUAAUAAAUUUCCAAGUUAAACGUAUCAAACGCUGGAAUCGCUUUGUCAAAAUUAACAACGUUUGGAUGAUGCAAAUGUUGUUAACCAAAUUUUCAGAGAAUCCGAGAGAUUCUCUCACAAAGGGAAGGAAAGUAGAAUACAGGGGAAAAAUGUUGAAAAAUAUUACAAAGGAAAUUUAAACGUGAUUUCAGGAAGAGAACUUUUUAAUUCUUUUCAUUCGUAAUAAAAUGCUUUCACAAGCUGACACGGUUUACCUUAAUUAGAUUAUAAUAUUAAUGAAAAUGUAUUUAAUAAUACAUUUCUGUAAUGUUUAUUGUA